This 490-nucleotide long non-coding RNA is filed under the name Struthio camelus australis. RNAcentral's name for it is "lncRNA (ENSSCUG00000012168.1)". Lineage: Eukaryota; Metazoa; Chordata; Aves; Struthioniformes; Struthionidae. The record is from RNAcentral.
CUUGAAUUCCUCGUAGUCCUGUUUAAUUUCAUCUUUUUGUCUGGUGCAGUUUUAGGAUUUAGAGGACAGGAUCAUCAUCUGAUUUUGAAAAGGAUUUAAAAAUUGUCCUCUCUCUGUCUUUACCAGAGUUAGAGAAGCUCCUUAGAAACGUGGGUGUCUGUCAUGUAGGCACAGAAAGGAAAAAGUCUUAUACACUGGCUAUACUGUGCAGCUGCCUCAGAUGGUACAGGACAACAGACAAAGAGCUUCCUUUCCUGAAGAAAGACUAAUCCAGUCUGCAUUUUUAAAUUGUAAAGAAAAAUAUCUGAUAAAAGUGAUACUUAAGGAAUGUUUCUGUAGGUUGUGGAAAUGAGAGGGGUAUUGGUUCUGUUUCGGGGAUUAGGGUGGGGUGGCCACUUUCAUCAACUAAAACUGAAAAUUGGAAUUCAGUUGCCUGAAAGACUGGUGAGAUUCAAACUGGGCUCUAACUGUUAUAGCUACAAGGCUGCUG